Molecule: ribosomal RNA, 299 nt
Filed under: uncultured bacterium
Lineage: Bacteria
Description: partial 16S ribosomal RNA
Rfam family: Bacterial small subunit ribosomal RNA
Source: RNAcentral
AUGUCCUACGGGACGCAGCAGUGGGGAAUAUUGGGCAAUGGACGCAAGUCUGACCCAGCAACGCCGCGUGAAGGAAGAAGGCUUUCGGGUUGUAAACUUCUUUUAAGGGGGAAGAGCAGAAGACGGUACCCCUUGAAUAAACCACGGCUAACUACGUGCCAGCAGCCGCGGUAAUACGUAGGUGGCAAACGUUGUCCGGAUUUACUGGGUGUACAGAGCGUGCAGCCGGAGAGACAAGUCAGAUGUGAAAUCAACGGGCUCAACCCGUGAACUGCAUUUGAAACUGUUUCCCUUGAGUG